This 875-nucleotide ribosomal RNA is filed under the name uncultured bacterium. RNAcentral describes it as "bacterial SSU rRNA". It matches the Rfam family "Bacterial small subunit ribosomal RNA", at positions 8 to 916 of the family's 1533-position model. The record is from RNAcentral.
AGAGUUUGAUCAUGGCUCAGGAUGAAUGCUGGCGGCGUGCUUAACACAUGCAAGUCGAGCGGUAAGGGCCCUUCGGGGUACACGAGCGGCGGACGGCUGAGUAACGCGUGGGAACAUGCCCAAAGUGAGGAAUAAGCUCCAGAAAUGGAGUCUAAUGCCGCAUAUGAUCUUCGGAUUAAAGGAUUUAUCCGCUUUGGGAGUGGCCUGCGUAAGAUUAGGUAGUUGGUGAGGUAAUGGCUCACCAAGCCGACGAUCUUUAGCUGGUCUGAGAGGAUGACCAGCCAGACUGGAACUGAGACACGGUCCAGACUCCUACGGGAGGCAGCAGUGAGGAAUAUUCCACAAUGGGCGAAAGCCUGAUGGAGCAACGCCGCGUGCAGGAUGAAGGCCUUCGGGUCGUAAACUGCUUUUAUAAGUGAAGAAUAUGACGGUAACUUAUGAAUAAGCACCGGCUAACUACGUGCCAGCAGCCGCGGUCAUACGUAGGGUGCAAGCAUUAUCCGGAGUGACUGGGCGUAAAGAGUUGCGUAGGUGGUUUGUUAAGUGAAUAGUGAAAUCUGGGGGCUCAACCUCACAGACUAUUAUUCAAACUGGCAAACUCGAGAAUGGUAGAGGUAACUGGAAUUUCUAGUGUAGGAGUGAAAUCCGUAGAUAUUAGAAGGAACACCAAUGGCGUAGGCAGGUUACUGGACCAUUUCUGACACUGAGGCACGAAAGCGUGGGGAGCGAACCGGAUUAGAUACCCGGGUAGUCCACGCCGUAAACUAUGGAUACUAGCUGUUGGGGGUAUCGACCCCCCCAGUAGCGAAGCUAACGCGUUAAGUAUCCCGCCUGUGGAGUACGGUCGCAAGACUAAAACUUAAAGGAAUUGACGG